RNAcentral lists this ribosomal RNA (468 nucleotides) under uncultured bacterium. RNAcentral describes it as "partial 16S ribosomal RNA". It matches the Rfam family "Bacterial small subunit ribosomal RNA", at positions 28 to 507 of the family's 1533-position model. The record is from RNAcentral.
GACGAACGCUGGCGGCGUGCUUAACACAUGCAAGUCGAACGGAAAGGCCCUGCUUUUGUGGGGUGCUCGAUUGGCGAACGGGUGAGUAACACGUGAGUAACCUGCCCUUGACUUUGGGAUAACUUCAGGAAACUGGGGCUAAUACCGGAUAGGAUCUCCUGCUGCAUGGUGGGGGUUGGAAAGUUUCGGCGGUUGGGGAUGGACUCGCGGCUUAUCAGCUUGUUGGUGGGGUAGUGGCUUACCAAGGCUUUGACGGGUAGCCGGCCUGAGAGGGUGACCGGCCACAUUGGGACUGAGGUACGGCCCAGACUCCUACGGGAGGCAGCAGUGGGGAAUAUUGCACAAUGGGCGGAAGCCUGAUGCAGCAACGCCGCGUGCGGGAUGACGGCCUUCGGGUUGUAAACCGCUUUCGCCUGUGACGAAGCGUGAGUGACGGUAAUGGGUAAAGAAGCACCGGCUAACUACGUG